Gracilinanus agilis (Agile Gracile Mouse Opossum) is the source of this 426-nucleotide long non-coding RNA. RefSeq lists it as uncharacterized. The transcript has 4 exons. The record is from RefSeq and is a predicted model, not a curated record. NCBI's taxonomy places the organism in Eukaryota, Metazoa, Chordata, Mammalia, Didelphimorphia, Didelphidae.
UAUUGCUUCCCGCUAAUGUUCCAUCGGAGGGUAGGAUAGUAGUAAUUUUAGAAGGUGGUAUUCCUGUUUGUCUUACAUCGAAAACUUCAGAAUAAAUAAAAAGAAACAUCAAUUGAACGAGAAAUGUAACUAUGGAAAAGUACCAAUGAAUCUAAUUCUGAAUAGAAGAGAUACUCAAACAGUAUGGGUGUAAGAGUGUUUCCAAGGACCCUGCCAGCUUCUGCAAAGGGAGCUGCCUAGAGAGACUGGAUUGAUCAGGUUGAAACCAUCUUGCACUUUGAAAAGAGAUAAGAGAAGAACUGGUUAUGGGAAAAAUAUAAUCACAAUAAAGAAAAGAUACCCACCAUUAAGAAAUUGACUCAAGUAUACUUCUUGCUGAUGACCCAGUUCCUGUUUGACUUCAUUGACAAGAGUUCAAGAGCUAUA